GAUGAACGCUGGCGGCGUGCCUAAUACAUGCAAGUCGAGCGAACAGAUGAGGAGCUUGCUCCUCUGACGUUAGCGGCGGACGGGUGAGUAACACGUGGAUAACCUACCUAUAAGACUGGGAUAACUUCGGGAAACCGGAGCUAAUACCGGAUAAUAUAUUGAACCGCAUGGUUCAAUAGUGAAAGACGGUUUUGCUGUCACUUAUAGAUGGAUCCGCGCCGCAUUAGCUAGUUGGUAAGGUAACGGCUUACCAAGGCAACGAUGCGUAGCCGACCUGAGAGGUGGGUCAGCCACCCGUGCAAGGGGACCACGCACCACACCCCUCGGGGCGGCACCAGGAGGGACUUCUCCGGAAGGGGGGAAGGCCGGACGGUACACCGCGGGGGGAAGAAGAAAGGUCUCGGUACCGAAACCCUUUUUUAUGGGGAAAAAAAAAAUGUGUAAGUACCUAUGCUCGUCUUCCGGCCCCUUAAUAAAAAACCCCGCCCAAACCCGCCC
Molecule: ribosomal RNA, 498 nt
Filed under: uncultured bacterium
Lineage: Bacteria
Description: partial 16S ribosomal RNA
Rfam family: Bacterial small subunit ribosomal RNA
Source: RNAcentral